ACAAGCUACUAAGGGUUUAUGCACGGAUGACUUGGUUAGGUGAGGCGACGAAGGACGCGGUAAGCAGCGAUAUGCUUCGGGGAGCCGCAAACAGGCUUUGAUCCGGAGACUUCCGAAUGGGGCAACCCUCUUGGAGUAAAAUCCAAGAACUCUGCGCUGAAUACAUAGGCGUAGAAGAGCGAACCGGCCCAAUUGAAACAUCUAAGUAAGCCGAGGAAAAGAAAUCGAAUGAGAAUCCCCCAGUAGUGGCGAACGAAAAGGGACCAGCCUAAACUUUCGACACGCGAGUGCCGGGAGGGUUGUGGGACCUCGAUAUGGUAGUCAAAGGGAUAGCGGAAGUGUCUGGAAAGACACGCCCAAGAGAGUGAAAGUCUCGUACGCGAAAUUCUAAUGACGCCUAGGGGUAUCCCAAGUACCACGGGACACGGGAAAUCCUGUGGGAAUCUGGGCCGACCACGGUCUAAGGCUAAAUACUACACCUAAACCGAUAGUGAACAAGUACCGUGAGGGAAAGUUGAAAAGAACCCCGGGAGGGGAGUGAAAUAGAACCUAAAAUCAUAAACCUACAAAGCGGUAGGAGGCCUAUACGCAUCGCAAGGUGCGGAUGGCUGACUGCGUACCUUUUGCAUAAUGGUCCGACGAGUUAUUAGUUUCAAGCGAGUUUAAGUGAGUUGUGAAAGCAUCUCACGAAGGCGUAGGGAAACCGAGUCCUAACCGGGCGACCAUAGCUUGAGCUAAUAGACCCGAAGCUGAGUGAUCUAUCCAUGGCCAGAGGGAAGCCUCGCGAAAGCGAGGUGGACGUUCGAACCCUUCGGCGUUGAAAAACCGUGGGAUGAGCUGUGGAUUGGAGCGAAAGACUAAACAAACUCAGAAAUUGCUGGUUCUCCCCGAAACAAUUCUAGGGUUCGCCUUAGAACACUACGUCAUAGGGGUAGAGUGCUGAAUGGACUACGGGAGUCUACCGACUUGCCGGGUCCAACCAAACUCCGAAUACUAUGACGACUAUUCUAGGAGUAAGACGACGGGGGCCAAGCUCCGUCGUCAAAAGGGAAUCAGCCCAGAUCGCCGGCUAAGGUCCCUAAGAUUAGGCUAAGUUAUAAAGGAUGUGGAUCCGCUCAGACAGCCAGGAUGUUGGCUCAGAGGCAGCCAUCAUUUAAAGAGUGCGUAACAGCUCACUGGCCGAGCGAGUCUGCGCCUAAGAUGAACGGGAAUUAAGCCUAACACCGAAGCUGUGGGUGUACGGUGACUUCGGUCAUCGUAUGCGGUAGGGGAGCAUUAUCCAGUCGGUUGAAGCGGUACCGUGAGGAGCCGUGGACACUGGAUAAGGGAUUAUGUCGGAAUAAGUAGCGAAAAUGUCUGCGAGAAACAGACACGCCGAAAGUCGAAGGUUUCCUGGGGAAGGUUAAUCCACCUAGGGUUAGUCGUGCCUAAGCCGAGGCCAAAUGGCGUAGGCGAUGGAUGAACUGUUAAUAUUCAGUUACUACCUUGUUGGCGUCAUCACUUUUCAUGUGACGCAGGAGGGAUGGAGCUGCGCAGUGUUGGAUGUCUGCGUUCUUGUGCGGGGAACCGCAUGAGGGGAGCUUGAGGUUUCCGAGAGCGAAGUGCACUACUUCCAUACUGCCAAGAAAAGCAUGGGAAGGAGUUAACAGGGUACACGUACCGGAAUCCGACACAGGUAGACCACCAGAAUAUGGUAAGGCGAUCGAGAUAACCCUCUUUAAGGAACUCUGCCAAAUAGCCGCGUAAGUUCGCAAUAAGCGGUGCCCCGCCUCGUAAGGGGAUGGGGUCACAGUAAAGUGGAUCGGGUGACUGUUUAGCAAAAACACAUCUCUCUGCAAACUCGAAAGAGGACGUAUAGGGAGUGACACCUGCCCAGUGCUGGAAGGUUAAGGGAAUCUGUUAGUGAGAGCAAUCUUGCAAAGCGGUGAACCGAAGCCCCAGUAAACGGCGGCCGUAACUAUUGAUUGACCGCAGUAGUUGUAAAAUUUGGCUAUAUGCUGGGAAAUCCUGUCAGGCCGGCAGUACGUCUGUCUUUAAGACGGAACGUGACAAUCUGCCGGAUAGGGACAAUCAGCAGGAAAGACCUGAAGGAGGUCUCCGUGAAGAUAGAAACAGGCUAUUACUUAGCUGGUUUUGCGGAUGGGGAAGGGAGUUUCAACAUAUCCUUUCGUCCGAGGCAAGACUAUAAAUCACCAUGGAAAGUUUCUUUGUGUUUCAAUAUCUCUCAGAAAGAUAAAGUUAUUCUUGCAUUGUAUAAGCGCUAUCUAGGCUGUGGAACAUUGCGAGGCAGGCCUGAUGGAGUCUGGUACUUUGAAGUGAAUAAUUUCGAAUCGAUCAGAGAGAAAGUAAUACCUUUUUUUAGAAGGUAUCCAUUUUUAUCAGCUAAGAAAAAAAGAGAUUUCGCAAAAUUCUGCGAACUCGCGCGGUUGAUUAAAAAUGAGAAUCACCUGACAAAAGAGGGGAUUAAGAAAAUACUUGAAAUACGAAGAGAUAUGAAUGAUGGUGGCAAACGCAAGUAUAGCGAGAUGGAGAUCUUAAGCAAGCUUCAGGAAUCCUCAGAGACUAUACGCCAAACUCCUGGUCAAUCAGGAGAUGAUAUAGUCCGGUCUUCCGGGAAACCGGAAGUUAACAUGAACGAACGGUCCUAAGGUUAACGUAAUAACGCUAGCCUGCUUGGUAGUAAUACCAAAGAAUAAUUACCAACUAUAUCGGUGAAGUCCUCGGUUGUAUAGAGGAUAAUACCGAGGGAAGUCGUAAAUGACCCCGUAGAGACUACACGUUGGCUCCUGCGUAAAGCAGGAUGAAGAUAUAGUCCACGCCAAUAGUAAUAUUGGAUUAACGUGAGCGAAAUUCCUUGUGGGGUAAGUUCCCACGCGCACGAAUGGUGUAACAAC
Molecule: ribosomal RNA, 2894 nt
Filed under: activated sludge metagenome
Description: bacterial LSU rRNA
Rfam family: Bacterial large subunit ribosomal RNA (bases 1-2134)
Source: RNAcentral